This 460-nucleotide ribosomal RNA is filed under the name uncultured Sphingobacteriales bacterium. RNAcentral's name for it is "bacterial SSU rRNA". It matches the Rfam family "Bacterial small subunit ribosomal RNA", at positions 920 to 1382 of the family's 1533-position model. The record is from RNAcentral. Lineage: Bacteria; Pseudomonadati; Bacteroidota; Sphingobacteriia; Sphingobacteriales.
CCCGCACAAGCGGUGGAGCAUGUGGUUUAAUUCGAUGAUACGCGAGGAACCUUACCUGGGCUCAAAUGUAUGUUGACGUAUUCUGAAAGGGAUACUUCUUCGGACAAUAUACAAGGUGCUGCAUGGUUGUCGUCAGCUCGUGCCGUGAGGUGUCGGGUUAAGUCCCAUAACGAGCGCAACCCCUAUCAUUAGUUGCCAUCAGGUCAAGCUGGGGACUCUAAUGAAACUGCCUACGCAAGUAGUGAGGAAGGUGGGGAUGACGUCAAAUCAGCACGGCCCUUACGUCCAGGGCUACACACGUGCUACAAUGGCCGGUACAAAGGGCAGCUACCUGGUGACAGGAUGCUAAUCUCAAAAGCCGGUCUCAGUUCGGAUCGAAGUCUGCAACCCGACUUCGUGAAGCUGGAUUCGCUAGUAAUCGCGCAUCAGCCAUGGCGCGGUGAAUACGUUCCCGGGCCUU